CUGGGUAUAACUUUCUUUCUUUCUUUUUUUUCUCUCCCCUUCGUUGGAUUCGUGGGUGGAGACUGCGAGGGAUGGUGGGGUGAAUGGCUGGAAGGAUGAGCGCGAGGUGGAGGUGGGAGCAUUGCCUCCGUUCGACCACUCUCGGCUUCUUCUUCUCCGCCGCCGUCCUCCUGGGAUCGGUCGCCACCCUCUUCGCCUGGCUCACCUUCUCUCCCUUUCCAAGACCCAUCGCCUCGGUCUCCUCCUCCUCCGCCGCCCUCGGCUGCCGCCCUGACGGCGAGGGGUCCUGGUCCAUCGGUAUCUUCUAUGGCGACUCCCCCUUCUCUCUCAAAGCCAUCGAAUCUAGGAAUGUAUGGAGGAACGAAAGCGCAGCGUGGCCGGUGGCGAAUCCUGUGUUUACGUGCGCGUCGGCUUCGGAUGCUGGAUUUCUGAGCAAUUUUGUCGCCGAUCCCUUCCUCUAUAUCCAGGAAGAUGCAUUUUAUUUGUUUUUCGAGACCAAGAACUCCAUCACAUUGCAAGGAGACAUUGGUGUUGCUAUGAGCAAGGAUAAGGGUGCGACAUGGCAGCACCUGGGUAUUGCAUUGGAUGAGGAAUGGCAUCUUUCUUAUCCAUAUGUUUUCAGCUACCAGGAUCGAAUCUACAUGAUGCCUGAAGGCAGUAAGAAAGGGGAGCUCCGGCUGUAUCGAGCAUUGGAUUUUCCCUUGAAGUGGAAAUUGGAAAAGGUCAUCCUGAAGAAGCCCCUUAUAGAUUCAUUCAUUAUAAAGUAUGAUGGUUACCACUGGCUGUUUGGGUCAGAUUUUAGUGCUUUCGGUGCCAAAAAGAAUGGAGAGCUUGAAAUCUGGUACAGCAACUCUCCUCUUGGUCCUUGGAAACCCCACAAGCAGAACCCGGUUCAUAACACUGAUAAGAGCUUGGGUGCUAGAAAUGCAGGCAGGCCAUUCUUUUACAAGGGCAAGCUCUAUCGCACGGGGCAAGAUUGUGGUGGCACAUACGGGCGGCGGGUACGUGUGUUUAGGGUUGAGGUUCUCACCAUGGACGAAUUUGAGGAAGUUGAAGUCCCAUUUGGCAUUGAUGAGCCCCGAAAAGGCCGUAACACUUGGAAUGGGGCUCGUUAUCAUCACCUAGAUGUGCAAGAGCUUCAAUCAGAUGAAUGGGUUGGAGUGAUGGAUGGUGAUCGAGUUCCUUCGGGUGAUUCUGUUGGCCGGCUUAUUAAGGGCUACACAGCAUUUGGGGCAGCUAUCACUCUAGUAAUACUGUCGGGAAUGUUGUUAGGUGUAAUCAAGUGUAUUUUGCCCCUUAGUCGGUGCCUUCCCAUCUCAGGAAAGCGAAGUGAUGCCUUCCAGGCGGGAGAGAAGCAUCGUCAUCUAUAUUCUAAGUUUAGAUGGCUGUUUGCUCAUGUGAACAAGCUAGGUUCUCCAAUCCAAGGAAGAAUCAAGCCUACCACCUGUACAGGCCGGUCAGUUCUAGCUGUUAUAUUUUUGUUCAUAGUUGCAUUAACCUGUAUUGGCACCCAUUACGUAUAUGGGGGCAAUGGUGCAGAGGAGGCUUAUCCGAUGAACGGACACUUCUCUGAGUUCACACUGCUCACCAUGACAUAUGAUGCCCGCCUGUGGAAUUUGAGGAUGUUUGUGAAGCAUUACUCAAGAUGCUCUUCAGUAAGGGAGAUUGUGGUAGUGUGGAACAAAGGCCAGCCUCCAAAUUUGAGUGACUUGGAUUCCACCGUGCCGGUUAGGAUCAGAGAGGAGGAGAGGAACUCUUUGAACAACAGGUUUAAUGCAGACCCACUGAUAAAGACACGGGCAGUGCUUGAACUUGAUGAUGAUAUCAUGAUGACAUGUGAUGAUGUGGAGCGUGGAUUCAAGGUCUGGCGUGAUCACCCUGAUAGAAUUGUGGGAUUCUACCCACGACUCGCGGAAGGAAGCCCGCUUAAGUAUCGGGAUGAGAAGUAUGCUCGGGGACGAGGAGGGUAUAACAUGAUAUUAACAGGAGCUGCAUUCAUAGAUCAUAAUUUGGCUUUUAAAAGAUACUGGAGCAAGGAGGCAGAGGAGGGAAGGAAGCUGGUUGAUAAGAAAUUUAACUGCGAGGAUGUGCUUCUGAAUUUCUUGUAUGUGAAUGCAAGUGAGUCAAAGAAGACGGUAGAGUAUGUGAAGCCUGCCUGGGCUAUAGACACAUCAAAAUUCUCUGGUGCAGCUAUCAGUCGGAACACACAGGCACAUUAUCAAGCAAGAAGUGAGUGCCUCGUUAAGUUUUCGGAGUUAUAUGGGAAUUUGGCUGCCAAUAGAUGGGGUUUCGAUAGCCGGAAAGAUGGUUGGGAUGUAUAGUAGCAUGGGCUUUUGGCAUGGUUCUGUCUACAAUUUUGCCCAUUCCAUCUCGUGACUCUAGUUGCCAUCUGUAACUGUAUUUUAUUUUGUGUUAUUUUGCACUUUGGGGAAUAUAGACAGCUGGGGCUAUCUAACAUGUAAGAUUAUUUUCAGAGUUACCAACAGAAUGCCAAAUUGACUUCAAUAUCCAAUGUUUUGUGAAAACGCUAUGCAAGUAAGCAAAUUUGCAUCUAUAAUAAGCAUCCACCAAAGUGAUGAGAAUCAAUCAAGACUGCCUUAUGAUGGCCUCUGAUUUAUCCAAAAGUAUGUUGGUGUUUCUGCACAUAUUAGAAGCUUAUUUAUUUCAACAUCCUGUUAACUUUUUGUCAUCUAAUUAUCUUCCACCAGUAAUGAAGAAAGAAGAUUACAUAGAUGAUUGAAAACCUUAAUACAAGUGUUUUACAAUGAAUGGAUGUUGUUGGAGAAGGCAUGCUGUGGUGUAAAGGCCAAAUUAUGGCAGUCUAAAUUGAAGACAUGUCGGCAAUGGUGGUAGACAAAAUGAAGCCCUUCAUCUGUAAGGUCAUUUGGAAACUGAUGGAAUGAAAAUAACGGAACCAUGCUCCUCUGGUCAAAAUUUACAGCUGUUCUUCAGAAAAAUGACAAUCUCUUGCUGCAAACAUCAGAAGAUGGAAUGCUUUAGUUAGCCAAUUUUUAUAUUGAGAAAUUCAAGUGCAGAAUUGCUACUUACUAUUAGGCAUAGAAGCAC
Molecule: non-coding RNA, 3066 nt
Organism: Elaeis guineensis (African oil palm)
Lineage: Eukaryota; Viridiplantae; Streptophyta; Magnoliopsida; Arecales; Arecaceae
Source: RefSeq, a predicted model, not a curated record